Molecule: ribosomal RNA, 330 nt
Filed under: Triticum aestivum (bread wheat)
Lineage: Eukaryota; Viridiplantae; Streptophyta; Magnoliopsida; Poales; Poaceae
Description: partial small subunit ribosomal RNA
Source: RNAcentral
AUGCCUGAGUGGAUAGGGGGAGAUGGAACUCCUCUCUCAGCCCAGUCAUGCCUAAGGACCCCCUCACCAAAGUGUCUUCAUUUGUGCAUAUUAGGAAGCCCUGGAAUAAGCAACUGGCAAAAUUUGAGGCUGCCACAGAUCCUUGCAGAAAAGGGUCGAGGAGCCAUCUGUGAUAUUAACUUUCAAAACACCACGGUACACUUCAGUGAGCUGAAUAAUGUCACGCCACCAAACGGACCCACAAGGGUCGUCAGAAGCAUGAGGAACCUUGUUUUCGUAGUAUGUGGACCAAACCAAAUUCACCCAGGGGACAUCAUGUUUAUUAUAUAA